RNAcentral lists this non-coding RNA (167 nucleotides) under Fibrocapsa japonica. The record is from RNAcentral. Lineage: Eukaryota; Raphidophyceae; Chattonellales; Chattonellaceae.
AAAAAGGUGCAGCACAAAUGAGUGGAGCGUUUUUUUCUUUUCAUUUUUCUUUUUUUUCCCCAAUCUUUUCUGCCCCAUGGUUAAGAGGACUUUCCGUAACACACAUAGUGGCGCGCGUACAGAGUUUGAGAUAAAAAGUGAUAGAAUUACAUUUUGAUGAUUUUUGU